GAUGAACGCUGGCGGCGUGCCUAAUACAUGCCAGUCGAGCGAACGGACGAGAAGUUUGCUUCUCUGAUGUUAGCGGCGCACGGGUGAGUCACACGUGUAUAACCUCCCUAUCAGACUGGGAUAACUUCGGGAAACCGGAGCUUAUACCGGAUAAUAUUUUGAACCGCAUGGUUCAAAAGUGAAAGACGGUCGUGCGGUCAGUUCUAGGUGGAUCCGCGCUGCAUUAGCUAGUUGGUAAUGUAACGGCUUUCCAAGGCAGCGAUGCAUUGCCGACCUGGGAGGGGGAGCGCCCCCCCUGGAGCUGAGCCGCCGUCCAGAGUCCUACGGGAGGCACCAGUAGGGAAUGGUCCGCAAUGGGCGGAAGCCUGACGGAGCGACGCCGCGUGAGUGAUGAAGGUCUGCGGAGCGUAAAACUGUGUUAUGAGGGAAGAACAUAUGUGUAAGUAACUGUGCACAUCUUGACGGUACCUAAUCAGAAAGCCACGGCUAACUACGUG
RNAcentral lists this ribosomal RNA (497 nucleotides) under uncultured bacterium. RNAcentral's name for it is "partial 16S ribosomal RNA". It matches the Rfam family "Bacterial small subunit ribosomal RNA", at positions 28 to 507 of the family's 1533-position model. The record is from RNAcentral.